CAUGGAGGGUGAGAAUCCCGUACGGCCAUCAUUGCUCGUGUACGAUACGUUUUCAAAGAGUCAAGUUGUUUGAGAUUGCAGCUUAAAAUGGGAGGUAAAUUUCUCCUAAGGCUAAAUAUUGGCGAGAGACCGAUAGCGAACAAGUACCGUGGGGGAAAGAUGAAAAGAACUUUGAAAAGAGAGUUAAAAAGUACGUGAAAUUGUUGAAAGGGAAACGAUUGAAGUCAGUCGUACCGACGAGAAAUCAACUCAUCGAAUGGGUAAUUGCGGGCGUAUGAGAGCCUCAUUGUUUGCGAAUGCAUGUUCUUUGGGUGUACUUUUUCGUAUGGUAGGUCAACAUCGAUUUUGAUCGUCAUAAAAUGAUCGGAGGAAUGUAGCUUUGAUUUCGAUCGAAGUGUUAUAGCCUUUGGUAGAUGUGACGAUUGGGAUCGAGGAUUGCAACGAAUACCCUUUGGGCUAUCCGUCUGGCCUCUGAAAGUCGCUUGGGAGUCGAAAGCUUGCUUAUGACUGUUCAAGUUGGCGGUCAACAGGUUAGAACGUGAUUACAUUCGUUAAGGAUGUUGACGUAAUG
This 571-nucleotide ribosomal RNA is filed under the name uncultured Glomeromycotina. RNAcentral describes it as "LSU rRNA". It matches the Rfam family "Eukaryotic large subunit ribosomal RNA", at positions 204 to 636 of the family's 3401-position model. The record is from RNAcentral. Lineage: Eukaryota; Fungi; Glomeromycota.